Molecule: ribosomal RNA, 204 nt
Filed under: uncultured Chlamydiales bacterium
Lineage: Bacteria; Pseudomonadati; Chlamydiota; Chlamydiia; Chlamydiales
Description: partial 16S ribosomal RNA
Rfam family: Bacterial small subunit ribosomal RNA
Source: RNAcentral
CAACACUGGGACUGAGACACUGCCCAAACUCCUACGGGAGGCUGCAGUCGAGAAUCUUUCGCAAUGGGCGAAAGCCUGACGAAGCGACGCUGCGUGAGUGAUGAAGGCUUUCGGGUUGUAAAACUCUUUCGCGCAAGAGCAAAGAUGUUUUAGUGAAUAACUAAGACAUGUGAGAGUACUGGGAAAAGAAGCACCGGCUAACUC